Long non-coding RNA from Apodemus sylvaticus (European woodmouse), 448 nucleotides. RefSeq lists it as uncharacterized. The transcript has 3 exons. NCBI's taxonomy places the organism in Eukaryota, Metazoa, Chordata, Mammalia, Rodentia, Muridae. The record is from RefSeq and is a predicted model, not a curated record.
AGGCUGUUUUCAGACAUACAGAAGAGGGCAUCCGAUCUUAUUACCGAUGGUUGUGAGCCACUGUGUGGGUGCUGGGAUUUGAACUCAGGACCUCUAGAAGAGCAGUCAGUGCUCUUAACUGCUGAGCCAGCUCCUGCUCAAGCCAUCUCUCCAUCCCCCGAUUUAUUUAUUAUAUGUUUGACAUUAAAACAAGUCGGUACACAAGGAAGGCACUCAACCCACCCUUACCCGUCAGUUUGAACAGAGAAGUCAUGGACCCAUCAGAACUGGGGCUCCAACUAGCAUGUGUUCCGCAGAGGGGAGGGUCACUACAGAGGGAAUGUCCUGCUGUCUUCAAGGAAAGCCACGUGGUUUCAGUACCUGCCUGGACUUUCUUCAGUGAUGGACUAUGAUGUGGAAGUGUAAGUCAAAUAGACCCUUUCCUCCCCGGCCUGAUUUUGGUCAGCAU